This 484-nucleotide ribosomal RNA is filed under the name uncultured bacterium. RNAcentral describes it as "partial 16S ribosomal RNA". It matches the Rfam family "Bacterial small subunit ribosomal RNA", at positions 30 to 507 of the family's 1533-position model. The record is from RNAcentral.
AUUGAACGCUGGCGGCAGGCCUAACACAUGCAAGUCGAGCGGAUGAAGGGAGCUUGCUCCUGGAGUCAGCGGCGGACGGGUGAGUAAUGCCUAGGAAUCUGCCUGGUAGUGGGGGAUAACGUCCGGAAACGGGCGCUAAUACCGCAUACGUCCUGAGGGAGAAAGUGGGGGAUCUUCGGACCUCACGCUAUCAGAUGAGCCUAGGUCGGAUUAGCUAGUUGGUGGGGUAAAGGCCUACCAAGGCGACGAUCCGUAACUGGUCUGAGAGGAUGAUCAGUCACACUGGAACUGAGACACGGUCCAGACUCCUACGGGAGGCAGCAGUGGGGAAUUUUGGACAAUGGGCGAAAGCCUGAUCCAGCCAUGCCGCGUGUGUGAAGAAGGUCUUCGGAUUGUAAAGCACUUUAAGUUGGGAGGAAGGGCAGUAAGUUAAUACCUUGCUGUUUUGACGUUACCAACAGAAUAAGCACCGGCUAACUUCGUG